Molecule: ribosomal RNA, 555 nt
Filed under: Ptychognathus lipkei
Lineage: Eukaryota; Metazoa; Arthropoda; Malacostraca; Decapoda; Varunidae
Description: partial 16S ribosomal RNA
Rfam family: Bacterial large subunit ribosomal RNA
Source: RNAcentral
GUCUGUUUGAAGGUAUAAAAAGUUUAACCUGCCCACUGAUUAAUAUUAAUUAAAUGGCCGCCGGUAUUUUGACCGUGCAAAGGUAGCAUAAUCGUUAGUUUUUUAAUUGGAAUCUUGUAUGAAUGGUUGGACAAAAGAAAAUCUGUCUCUUUAUUAUUUAUUGAAUUUAACUUUUAAGUGAAAAGGCUUAAGUGAAUUAAAAAGACGAUAAGACCCUAUAAAACUUGAUAUUAAUAUUUUAUUUAGUUGAAUUUUUUUAAUAAAAACUUAGUAGUUUAAUUUAUUUUAUUGGGGCGAUAAAAGUAAAAUUAUUGGUAACUGCUUAAUAUUUAAAUACAUUUAUAGGUGAUUGAAUUUUUAAAUGAUCCUUAAUAAAGAUUAAGAGUUUAAGUUACUUUAGGGAUAACAGCGUUAUUUUUUUUGAGAGUACUUAUCGAAAAGAAAGUUUGCGACCUCGAUGUUGAAUUAAAAUAUCUUUAUGAUUGCAGCAGUUAUAAAAGUAGGUCUGUUCGACCUUUAAAAAUUUUACUGAAUUUGAGUUCAAACCGGCGUGAG